This 541-nucleotide ribosomal RNA is filed under the name Diversispora sp. RNAcentral's name for it is "SSU rRNA". Lineage: Eukaryota; Fungi; Glomeromycota; Glomeromycetes; Diversisporales; Diversisporaceae. The record is from RNAcentral.
GGUGCUAGCRGSMSCGGKWAUUCCAGCUCCAAUAGCGUAUAUUAAAGUUGUUGCAGUUAAAAAGCUCGUAGUUGAACCUUGGGUCUGGCUGGCCGGUCCGCCUCACCGCGAGUACUGGUCCGGCUGGACCUUUCCUUCUGGGGAACCUCAUGGCCUUCACUGGCUGUGGGGGGAACCAGGACUUUUACUGUGAAAAAAUUAGAGUGUUCAAAGCAGGCCUUUGCUCGAAUACAUUAGCAUGGAAUAAUAGAAUAGGACGUGCGGUUCUAUUUUGUUGGUUUCUAGGACCGCCGUAAUGAUUAAUAGGGAUAGUCGGGGGCGUCAGUAUUCCGCUGUCAGAGGUGAAAUUCUUGGAUUUGCGGAAGACUAGCUACUGCGAAAGCAUUCGCCAAGGAUGUUUUCAUUAAUCAGGGAACGAAAGUUAGGGGAUCGAAGACGAUCAGAUACCGUCGUAGUCUUAACCAUAAACUAUGCCGACUAGGGAUCGGACSRGAUUCUAUAAUGMCCCGUUCGGCGCCUUACCGGGAAACAAAAGAGUAGG